AAGCUGUUUAGUGACGGCGGACAGCAGCAAACACGUGGUUUUGAUAAAGAGAUAAAUUGCGCCUCAGCUUCAUUAACGGCCUCUUUCUUCCUUGUUGCGGUAAAGGAGGUCGGUCGUGUUUCGGCGGAGAGACGAAAGCCACCACGUGUUUUUAACCCCACAUCCACGAGCCUGGCCUGGAUAUAGUUUAAUAAAAUGAGGUAAUUGGAUCACAGCGCAAACCGAGACCACUGCUGGAUCGUCCCAGUUUGGGAUUUGGUAAAUUAAAAGGUUCAAGUUGAAAAUUAAUUUUUAUUACCUUGUUCACAGAUAUGUCAGUUUAAAACCCA
Lates calcarifer (barramundi perch) is the source of this 329-nucleotide long non-coding RNA. RefSeq lists it as uncharacterized. The record is from RefSeq and is a predicted model, not a curated record. Lineage: Eukaryota; Metazoa; Chordata; Actinopteri; Centropomidae. The transcript is spliced from 3 exons.